UCAGGAACUUCAGAGAUUAUGAAACAGUUCAGUGACACGUGGACAGCACUGUGAAGGAAACUGAACCUCUCAAAGUAAAGUUUAAGGGUGCUGAUGUUUGGACUCAGAACUGUAAUGCAGGGAGUAGCUGCAGGGAAAGGUCCCUGAAUUCAUGCACCCCUCACACCACCACUGGUGGAGCUGUACUGCACUCCUCAAAGUCCUACCACCCUCCUCCUGUUCCCACUAGCAUUUUCUGGCCCACUGAGG
This 249-nucleotide long non-coding RNA is filed under the name Chinchilla lanigera (long-tailed chinchilla). Its description in RNAcentral is "lncRNA (ENSCLAG00000023021.1)". The record is from RNAcentral. Lineage: Eukaryota; Metazoa; Chordata; Mammalia; Rodentia; Chinchillidae.